This 510-nucleotide ribosomal RNA is filed under the name Vibrio sp. UmPM_1_407. RNAcentral describes it as "bacterial SSU rRNA". It matches the Rfam family "Bacterial small subunit ribosomal RNA", at positions 375 to 876 of the family's 1533-position model. Lineage: Bacteria; Pseudomonadati; Pseudomonadota; Gammaproteobacteria; Vibrionales; Vibrionaceae. The record is from RNAcentral.
GCGCAAGCCUGAUGCAGCCAUGCCGCGUGUAUGAAGAAGGCCUUCGGGUUGUAAAGUACUUUCAGCAGUGAGGAAGGGGGUGUCGUUAAUAGCGGCAUCUCUUGACGUUAGCUGCAGAAGAAGCACCGGCUAACUCCGUGCCAGCAGCCGCGGUAAUACGGAGGGUGCGAGCGUUAAUCGGAAUUACUGGGCGUAAAGCGCAUGCAGGUGGUUUGUUAAGUCAGAUGUGAAAGCCCGGGGCUCAACCUCGGAACUGCAUUUGAAACUGGCAAACUAGAGUACUGUAGAGGGGGGUAGAAUUUCAGGUGUAGCGGUGAAAUGCGUAGAGAUCUGAAGGAAUACCAGUGGCGAAAGGCGGCCCCCUGGACAGAUACUGACACUCAGAUGCGAAAGCGUGGGGAGCAAACAGGAUUAGAUACCCUGGUAGUCCACGCCGUAAACGAUGUCUACUUGGAGGUUGUGGCCUUGAGCCGUGGCUUUCGGAGCUAACGCGUUAAGUAGACCGCCUGG